GACGAACGCUGGCGGCGUGCUUAACACAUGCAAGUCGAACGUGAUUUUUGUGGAAAUUCUUUCGGGAAUGGAAAUGAAAUGAAAGUGGCGAACGGGUGAGUAACACGUGAGCAACCUACCUUACACAGGGGGAUAGCCGUUGGAAACGACGAUUAAUACCGCAUGAGACCACAGAAUCGCAUGAUAUAGGGGUCAAAGAUUUAUCGGUGUAAGAAGGGCUCGCGUCUGAUUAGCUAGUUGGAAGGGUAAAGGCCUACCAAGGCGACGAUCAGUAGCCGGUCUGAGAGGAUGAACGGCCACAUUGGAACUGAGACACGGUCCAAACUCCUACGGGAGGCAGCAGUGGGGAAUAUUGCACAAUGGGGGGAACCCUGAUGCAGCGACGCCGCGUGAGCGAAGAAGGUUUUCGAAUCGUAAAGCUCUGUCCUAUGAGAAGAUAAUGACGGUAUCAUAGGAGGAAGCCCCGGCUAAAUACGUGCCAGCAGCCGCGGUAAUACGUAUGGGGCGAGCGUUGUCCGGAAUUAUUGGGCGUAAAGGGUACGUAGGCGGUUUUUUAAGUCAGGUGUGAAAGCGUGAGGCUUAACCUCAUUAAGCACUUGAAACUGGAAGACUUGAGUGAAGGAGAGGAAAGUGGAAUUCCUAGUGUAGCGGUGAAAUGCGUAGAUAUUAGGAGGAAUACCGGUGGCGAAG
RNAcentral lists this ribosomal RNA (690 nucleotides) under uncultured Clostridium sp. RNAcentral describes it as "bacterial SSU rRNA". It matches the Rfam family "Bacterial small subunit ribosomal RNA", at positions 28 to 720 of the family's 1533-position model. The record is from RNAcentral. Lineage: Bacteria; Bacillati; Bacillota; Clostridia; Eubacteriales; Clostridiaceae.